This 436-nucleotide ribosomal RNA is filed under the name uncultured bacterium. Its description in RNAcentral is "bacterial SSU rRNA". It matches the Rfam family "Bacterial small subunit ribosomal RNA", at positions 339 to 791 of the family's 1533-position model. The record is from RNAcentral.
UUACGGGAGGCAGCAGUAGGGAAUCUUGCACAAUGGGCGCAAGCCUGAUGCAGCAACGCCGCGUGCGCGAUGAAGGCCUUCGGGUCGUAAAGCGCUUUUCUGGAGGACGAGAAGGGACGGUACUCCAGGAAGAAGGCUCGGCUAACUACGUGCCAGCAGCCGCGGUAAAACGUAGGAGCCUAGCGUUAUCCGAAUUUACUGGGCGUAAAGCGCGUGCAGGCGGCUUCGUAAGUGGAUUGUGAAAUCUCCCGGCUCAACUGGGAGGGGACGGUCCAGACUGCGCGGCUGGAGGCAGGGAGAGGGAGGUGGAAUUCCCGGUGUAGUGGUGAAAUGCGUAGAGAUCGGGAGGAACACCUGUGGCGAAAGCGGCCUCCUGGCCCUGACCUGACGCUGAGAUGCGAAAGCUAGGGGAGCGAACGGGAUUAGAUACCCCGGU